GUGGUAUUCUUUAUUUCAAUUAGCUCAUUGUAAAAGUUGAGACUUACAUAGUCAGUGUUGAUUAUUCCAAUGAAAUGUAAUCAUCAAUUAAUAUUAUUAUAAAUUAAGGAAUGUAUCUCCCUCAUGCAAAGCUCUGAUUCCUUUCACGGAUUUGGCUAUGCUUUUUUGACUGUUUGGAUUAUAGCUCUUCAUCUUUUAUAUAAGCUUUGGAUUUCAAAUAUUUUGGCCACAAGCAUCACUGAAGAGACAUGUAUUGUCGAAAUGCGCAUCUGGUGCAAGAAAAUUGGUUCCGUUAAUUUUAUUAAUACCAUACUGUCUAUUGAAAAAAGCAUUAUCUAAAUUGUGGGUAAAAAUCAAGUAUCUUGAUAAUGUCGAUUUCAGAU
RNAcentral lists this long non-coding RNA (383 nucleotides) under Mytilus galloprovincialis (Mediterranean mussel). The record is from RNAcentral. Lineage: Eukaryota; Metazoa; Mollusca; Bivalvia; Mytilida; Mytilidae.